AAGAUGAAACACUCCAGUAGAAAAUUAAGGUAUGUGACCUUGCAUGUCUUGAAGAAGGUUGCUAGCUAAAGUAAGGAUUUGUUCUAUUCCUUCAAUAUCAUUUUCAACGAUGAGCCGGUUUCUUGAUUUCCAGAUUUGCUAACACAUAAUCGCCAGCAUCUGAAAGUCACGAUUGUUGUUUCUCCGCCUCUUGAGCUUGCCUACACUUUCCGACCACGUUCGCUAGAAGGAGAAGGACCCAUCUCCACAAACCAACCCAGCGCCUACAGAGAGGGGAUAUUGUGUAGAUGUGGCGGUGGAGGUUCUCCAAAAUCGGGAGCUUCUCGUGCAAACAUCACCAGAGAAAAAAUUUGAUUUUUGGGAGUAGAGGCAUUUUCCAGAGCUCCAACCAUGUGUCUUUGUGCUGCAUCAAUUCGGGGCUGUAAUCAAUUGGAGAGUGAUAGAACAGGUUCCAUUGUUUGCUAGGCAUGAUUAGCUCAUUCACCCAUGCUACUUCCAUAAUCUGAUUGCUGAUGACUGAGCUAUGUGGGACAAGGAAAGGUUGGGAUGUAGCUACCCACGGAUCCUGGAAAACGCGAAUGCUGUUUCCGUUGCCCACCUUCCAGCAUAUGCUUUUUUCUAGAACUUUGCGGCCCUCCAAAAGGCUUCUCCAUCCCCAAGAAGGUAGAGUUUUUGUCUCUGCUCUCAUGAUAUUGUUGUAACGGUAGUACUUGCCUUUAAAAAUUUUGGACAUUAAUGAUUGAGGAUGCGUAGCUAGUUUCCAGUAUUGUUUAGCAAGUAGCGCUAGAUUCUAAGCUCGCAGACCUUUAAAGCCAAGGCCGCCCUCCUUCUUUGGUCUAGACAUGGUGUCCCAACUAAUCCACGCCAUCUUUCUUUCUGUUUCUUUUUGCCCCCACCAAAAUUGGGUGAGAAUACUGUGAAUCUCGCAAAGUAAAGUAUCUGGAAGCCUGAAGCAAGAGAGUGUGUAAAUAGAAAUGGCCUCCCUGACUGCCUUAAUUAGUACAUGUCUACCUGACGUAGAUAGUAAGU
Molecule: non-coding RNA, 1029 nt
Organism: Arachis ipaensis
Lineage: Eukaryota; Viridiplantae; Streptophyta; Magnoliopsida; Fabales; Fabaceae
Source: RefSeq, a predicted model, not a curated record